Molecule: long non-coding RNA, 677 nt
Filed under: Pan troglodytes (chimpanzee)
Lineage: Eukaryota; Metazoa; Chordata; Mammalia; Primates; Hominidae
Description: lncRNA (ENSPTRG00000054122.1)
Source: RNAcentral
CCCUGACAUCAUCGUGCUCAAGGUCUGGGAAGGCACCUGGGGGUUGUGAUCGGCAUCUUGGUGGCCGUCGUCCUCCUGCUCCUCCUCCUCCUCCUCCUGUUCCUCGUCCUCCGACACCGACGUCAGGGCAAACGCUGGACAUCGAGUGAGUAGGGAAUGGGGGGACCCUGAGGGCCGACUGAGGGUGGGCUCAGGGCACAGCCAAAGAGAAUCCAAACCUCUGGGCAAAUGCAGCUUUGAGAAACUGUUCCAGCAUUUCUCACCAGGUGAAUGGAGAAAGCACUUAAUGUCAGUCCCAUCUACAAAUGUAAAGUGUCCUCCGGGCUCAGUCCCAUCUACAAAUGUAAAGUGUCCUUUGGGCUCUGUCCAUCUCAUGAGGUAUUUGGAACAUGGAGGCAGGAGUGUUUUCAGGUUUCCUUCCUUACCUUUGAGCUGUGUGUGCGGGGCGAAGGGGGCUCCAAUGUUCCCAGGGCUGAGGCUCUGUCCUUCUUCCCCCAGCCCAGAGAAAGGCUGAUUUCCAACAUCCUGCAGGGGCUGUGGGGCCAGAGCCCACAGACAGAGGCCUGCAGAGGAGGUCCAGCCCAGCUGCCGAUGCCCAGGAAGAAAACCUCUAUGCUGCCGUGAAGGACACACAGCCUGAGGACGGAGUGGAGCUGGACACUCGGGUGAGGCCCUGC